This 515-nucleotide ribosomal RNA is filed under the name uncultured bacterium. RNAcentral describes it as "partial 16S ribosomal RNA". It matches the Rfam family "Bacterial small subunit ribosomal RNA", at positions 28 to 523 of the family's 1533-position model. The record is from RNAcentral.
GAUGAACGCUGGCGGCGUGCCUAAUACAUGCAAGUCGAGCGAAUGGAUUAAGAGCUUGCUCUUAUGAAGUUAGCGGCGGACGGGUGAGUAACACGUGGGUAACCUGCCCAUAAGACUGGGAUAACUCCGGGAAACCGGGGCUAAUACCGGAUAACAUUUUGAACCGCAUGGUUCGAAAUUGAAAGGCGGCUUCGGCUGUCACUUAUGGCUGGACCCGCGUCGCAUUAGCUAGGUGGUGAGGUAACGGCUCACCAAGGCAACGAUGCGUAGCCGACCGGAGAGGGUGAUCGGCCACACUGGGACUGGGACACGGCCCAGACUCCUACGGGAGGCAGCAGUAGGGAUUCUUCCGCAAUGGACGAAAGUCUGACGGAGAAACGCCGCGUGAGUGAUGAAGGCUUUCGGGUCGUAAAACUCUGUUGUUAGGGAAGAACAAGUGCUAGUUGAAUAAGCUGGCACCUUGACGGUACCUAACCAGAAAGCCACGGCUAACUACGUGCCAGCAGCCGCGGUAA